Molecule: ribosomal RNA, 460 nt
Filed under: uncultured bacterium
Lineage: Bacteria
Description: bacterial SSU rRNA
Rfam family: Bacterial small subunit ribosomal RNA
Source: RNAcentral
CCUANGGGUGGCAGCAGUGAGGAAUAUUGGUCAAUGGGCGCAAGCCUGAACCAGCCAUCCCGCGUGCAGGAAGACGGCGCUAUGCGUUGUAAACUGCUUUUCCAGGGGGCGAAUAGCUUCGACGAGUCGGGGUAUGACGGUACCCUGGGAAUAAGCAUCGGCUAACUCCGUGCCAGCAGCCGCGGUAAUACGGAGGAUGCGAGCGUUAUCCGGAUUUAUUGGGUUUAAAGGGUGCGUAGGCGGAAAAAUAAGUCAGUGGUGAAAACCUGCAGCUUAACUGUGGAACUGCCAUUGAUACUGUUAUUCUUGAGUAUGGUCAAGGUAGGCGGAAUGUGUAAUGUAGCGGUGAAAUGCUUAGAUAUUACACAGAACACCGAUUGCGAAGGCAGCUUACUGGGCCAUUACUGACGCUGAUGCACGAAAGCGUGGGGAGCGAACAGGAUUAGAUACCCCUNUANUC